GACGAACGCUGGCGGCGUGCUUAACACAUGCAAGUCGAACGGUGAAGCUCCAGCUUGCUGGAGUGGAUCAGUGGCGAACGGGUGAGUAACACGUGAGCAACCUGCCCCUGACUCUGGAAUAAGCGCUGGAAACGGCGUCUAAUACUGGAUACGAGAAGGGUCCGCAUGGGCACUUUCUGGAAAGUUUGUCGGUUGGGGAUGGGCUCGCGGCCUAUCAGCUUGUUGGUGAGGUAAUGGCUCACCAAGGCGACGACGGGUAGCCGGCCUGAGAGGGCGACCGGCCCCACUGGGACUGAGACACGGCCCAGACUCCUACGGGAGGAAGCAGUGGGGAAUAUUGCACGAUGGGCGAAAGCAUGAUGCAGCGACGCCGCGUGAGGGAUGACGGCCUUCGGGUUGUAACCCUCUUUCAGCAGGGAAGAAGCGAAAGUGACGGUACCUGCAGAAGAAGCACCGGCUAACUACGUG
RNAcentral lists this ribosomal RNA (468 nucleotides) under uncultured bacterium. RNAcentral describes it as "partial 16S ribosomal RNA". It matches the Rfam family "Bacterial small subunit ribosomal RNA", at positions 28 to 507 of the family's 1533-position model. The record is from RNAcentral.